Molecule: ribosomal RNA, 467 nt
Filed under: uncultured bacterium
Lineage: Bacteria
Description: partial 16S ribosomal RNA
Rfam family: Bacterial small subunit ribosomal RNA
Source: RNAcentral
ACUCACUCUUUCUUCUUUCUUAACACAUGCAAGUCGAACGGAAAGGCCCUGCUUUUGUGGGGUGCUCGAGUGGCGAACGGGUGAGUAACACGUGAGUAACCUGCCCUUGACUUUGGGAUAACUUCAGGAAACUGGGGCUAAUACCGGAUAGGAGCUCCUGCUGCAUGGUGGGGGUUGGAAAGUUUCGGCGGUUGGGGAUGGACUCGCGGCUUAUCAGCUUGUUGGUGGGGUAGUGGCUUACCAAGGCUUUGACGGGUAGCCGGCCUGAGAGGGUGACCGGCCACAUUGGGACUGAGAUACGGCCCAGACUCCUACGGGAGGCAGCAGUGGGGAAUAUUGCACAAUGGGCGGAAGCCUGAUGCAGCAACGCCGCGUGCGGGAUGACGGCCUUCGGGUUGUAAACCGCUUUCGCCUGUGACGAAGCGUGAGUGACGGUAAUGGGUAAAGAAGCACCGGCUAACUACGUG